GACGAACGCUGGCGGCGUGCUUAACACAUGCGAGUCGAACGGAAAGGCCCUGCUUUUGUGGGGUGCUCGAGUGGCGAACGGGUGAGUAACACGUGAGUAACCUGCCCUUGACUUUGGGAUAACUUCAGGAAACUGGGGCUAAUACCGGAUAGGAGCUCCUGCUGCAUGGGGGGGGUUGGAAAGUUUCGGCGGUUGGGGAUGGACUCGCGGCUUAUCAGCUUGUUGGUGGGGUAGUGGCUUACCAAGGCUUUGACGGGUAGCCGGCCUGAGAGGGUGACCGGCCACAUUGGGCCUGGGAUACGGCCCGGACUCCUCCGGGAGGCAGCAGUGGGGAAUAUUGCACAAUGGGCGGAAGCCUGAUGCAGCAACGCCGCGUGCGGGAUGACGGCCUUCGGGUUGUAAACCGCUUUCGCCUGUGACGAAGCGUGAGUGACGGUAAUGGGUAAAGAAGCACCGGCUAACUACGUG
RNAcentral lists this ribosomal RNA (468 nucleotides) under uncultured bacterium. RNAcentral's name for it is "partial 16S ribosomal RNA". It matches the Rfam family "Bacterial small subunit ribosomal RNA", at positions 28 to 507 of the family's 1533-position model. The record is from RNAcentral.